RNAcentral lists this ribosomal RNA (313 nucleotides) under uncultured bacterium. Its description in RNAcentral is "bacterial SSU rRNA". It matches the Rfam family "Bacterial small subunit ribosomal RNA", at positions 28 to 334 of the family's 1533-position model. The record is from RNAcentral.
GAUGAACGCUAGCGACAGGCUUAACACAUGCAAGUCGAGGGGCAGCGGGGUAGUGCUUGCACUACUGCCGGCGACCGGCGCACGGGUGAGUAACACGUAUGGAACCUGCCCGCAGCAGGGGGAUAAGCGGAAGAAAUUCCGUCUAAUACCGCGUAACAACGUUGGGAGGCAUCUCCCGAUGUUUAAAGAUUUAUCGGCUGCGGAUGGCCAUGCGGCGCAUUAGCUAGUCGGCGGGGUAACGGCCCACCUAACCGACGAUGCGUAGGGGUUCUGAGAGGAAGGUCCCCCACACUGGUACUGAGACACGGACCAG